UUGGUGGAUGCAGGUCUCACUCCUGCCCUGGUCUCUCCCGGGGGAGCUCAGAGGUGUCCAGCCUCUCCCAGUUUGGAGCCUUACAAUAUUUUGGAGAGGGAAAGGGCUGGGGGCUCCCCCUGCUCUGUGGGGGUCUUCCUUGUUGGAAGAGUAGCACAGAUCCUCAGAGGGGUCCUCGUGUUAAAGCCUAAAAUCAGAGAGGAGCGGGCAGACAAACAAGGGCUCGGUGAUGGAGCGGAAGGAUGAUGAAGAGCUGGGCUGUUGGAGUCGUGGACAAAAAAUGAAUGCUGGGAUGGAGGGAGGGAUGGCACCUUGGGGCAGAUCUGCAGACAGACAGACAUUCAGCUGGUGGAAUCACUGCACAAGAGACCCACGGGUACGUUUCUUCCUCAUCAUCAUCAUCCCUGGAGCAGAGGAAGGGAUGGCCAGCCCCAGGAACUGACAGGGUUUGGCACAGCUCCCCAGCAGCUAUCCCAAAACCCACCCUGGCCCAUUCUCCAUCCCCUUUGACAAGGAAACACAGAGGACCACUGGCAGGAGGCACUUCUGCCCACCACCAUCCUCACCCCAGGAGGAUCAGCCUCCCUUCCUUCCCCCCUCCCCAAACCACAGCCCAGCCGGGGGGGACAGCCAGCCCUGGCAAUCUCACAGCCCCCCCAGCCCAGCCGCAUUGUCCCUCCGAGAUGCCUCCUUCCCCCUCCCCAACACCCCCCGUCUCUCCUGGCAAAUUCUCCCCCCCUCCCCUCCUCCUGGAUCCAGCCGCUCUCAUAAUAGCAUCCUUUUCAUGGAGACAAAUUGUCCAGCCGGGGGCUGCACCUGAGGGCUUUCACCCUUUAACAAAUAGCCUUUUAAUUUUCUGCCAGAAGGGCAUGGAAAAGGGGGGGGACGAGGGGAAAAAAAAGGGGGGGGGCUGCAGAGGGGGGUUGCACAGAGGAGAGAGAAUCAAUCAGACAUCCAUCUUCAUCAUUGCUGCCAGGGGACCGCUUGCACUGGCUGGAUGCCCCUGGGGGAAGGUGGGGUGAAAAAGAGAAGGGGUUGGGGCGAGGGGGAGACAGGAGGCAGUGA
Molecule: long non-coding RNA, 1065 nt
Filed under: Anser brachyrhynchus (Pink-footed goose)
Lineage: Eukaryota; Metazoa; Chordata; Aves; Anseriformes; Anatidae
Description: lncRNA (ENSABRG00000018736.1)
Source: RNAcentral